RNAcentral lists this unclassified non-coding RNA (724 nucleotides) under Dermacentor andersoni. RNAcentral's name for it is "aP-3 complex subunit sigma-2-like". Lineage: Eukaryota; Metazoa; Arthropoda; Arachnida; Ixodida; Ixodidae. The record is from RNAcentral.
CGGUAAACAAAAGCAUGUGACGGCGUGAGGCGUCGAUGCGCGUUGGCAGUUCGCUUAUAUUUUAGGUUUCCUUAGUUAUUUCGCAGUAUACUUUGCAAUAAUGAUCAAAGCAAUCUUAAUAUUUAACCAAUAUGGAAAGAUCAGGUUGACAAAAUUCUACGAACAUUUCCAUGAAGAGGAGCAACAGCACAUUAUACGCGAGGUUUUUCAACUUGUUUCCAGGCGAGCAGACGACGUUUGCAACUUCCUUGAAGGUGGAGAUCUCGUCAAAAAUUCUGACUACAAGAUUAUCUACCGUCGCUACGCCACUCUGUUCAUAGUAUUCUGUGCUGACUCCAGUGAGAGUGAGCUGGGCAUCUUGGAUUUGAUUCAGGUCCUGGUAGAGCUGCUCGAUAAGGCCUUUGAAAACGUCUGCGAGCUUGACCUCGUGUUUCAUGUGGACCAGGUGCACUACAUCUUGAACGAGCUUGUGAUGGGAGGUAUGGUGGUCGACACCAACAUGACUGAACUCAUGACUCGUGUCACGGAUCAGGCAACCAUUGAGAAGCAGGAACGGACUUGAAUUGGAGGUGAUCCAUUAUCAAAGCAUUACGGAUGGGAAAGUCGUUCCAGUUUUGGGCAGGUGGUAUCGCUAAAAACACUGUCAAGGCCAUCACAGCUGUCAAGAAUGUCAACCUGUCACGGCACAUCAAGGACAUGAAGCUUCCCGAUUUUGCAACUCUUA